Molecule: ribosomal RNA, 253 nt
Filed under: uncultured bacterium
Lineage: Bacteria
Description: partial 16S ribosomal RNA
Rfam family: Bacterial small subunit ribosomal RNA
Source: RNAcentral
UACGGAGGGUGCAAACGUUGCUCGGAAUUAUUGGGCGUAAAGCGCUCGCAGGUGGUUCGUCGCGUCGUGCGUGAAAGACCCCGGCUCAACUGGGGAGGGUCGUGCGAUACGGGCGGACUGGAGGCCAGUAGGGGGAUGCGGAAUUCCGGGUGUAGUGGUGGAAUGCGUAGAGAUCCGGAGGAACACCAGCGGCGAAGGCGGCAUCCUGGACUGGUCCUGACACUCAUGAGCGAAAGCGUGGGGAGCGAUCCGG